This 259-nucleotide ribosomal RNA is filed under the name uncultured bacterium. RNAcentral describes it as "partial 16S ribosomal RNA". It matches the Rfam family "Bacterial small subunit ribosomal RNA", at positions 15 to 275 of the family's 1533-position model. The record is from RNAcentral.
GAUCGUGGCUCAGAUUGAACGCUGGCGGCAGGCUUAACACAUGCAAGUCGAGCGGGGGGAGGUUGCUUCGGUAACUGACCUAGCGGCGGACGGGUGAGUAAUGCUUAGGAAUCUGCCUAUUAGUGGGGGACAACAUUCCGAAAGGAAUGCUAAUACCGCAUACGUCCUACGGGGGAAAGCAGGGGAUCUUCGGACCUUGCGCUAAUAGAUGAGCCUAAGUCGGAUUAGCUAGUUGGUGGGGUAAAGGCCUACCAAGGCG